CGAACGGGUGAGUAACGCGUGAGGAACCUGCCUCAAAGAGGGGGACAACAGUUGGAAACGACUGCUAAUACCGCAUAAGCCCACGGGUCGGCAUCGACCUGAGGGAAAAGGAGCAAUCCGCUUUGAGAUGGCCUCGCGUCCGAUUAGCUAGUUGGUGAGGUAACGGCCCACCAAGGCGACGAUCGGUAGCCGGACUGAGAGGUUGAACGGCCACAUUGGGACUGAGACACAGCCCAG
RNAcentral lists this ribosomal RNA (237 nucleotides) under uncultured bacterium. RNAcentral's name for it is "partial 16S ribosomal RNA". It matches the Rfam family "Bacterial small subunit ribosomal RNA", at positions 99 to 334 of the family's 1533-position model. The record is from RNAcentral.